This 225-nucleotide ribosomal RNA is filed under the name Bacillus sp. (in: firmicutes). RNAcentral's name for it is "Bacillus sp. (in: Bacteria) partial 16S ribosomal RNA". It matches the Rfam family "Bacterial small subunit ribosomal RNA", at positions 565 to 787 of the family's 1533-position model. The record is from RNAcentral. Lineage: Bacteria; Bacillati; Bacillota; Bacilli; Caryophanales; Bacillaceae.
GGGCUCGCAGGCGGUUUCUUAAGUCUUGAUGUGAAAGCCCCCGGCUCAACCGGGGAGGGUCAUUGGAAACUGGUGAAACUUGAGUGCAGAAGAGGAGAGUGGAAUUCCACGUGUAGCGGUGAAAUGCGUAGAGAUGUGGAGGAACACCAGUGGCGAAGGCGACUCUCUGGUCUGUAACUGACGCUGAGGAGCGAAAGCGUGGGGAGCGAACAGGAUUAGAUACCC